Molecule: ribosomal RNA, 504 nt
Filed under: uncultured bacterium
Lineage: Bacteria
Description: partial 16S ribosomal RNA
Rfam family: Bacterial small subunit ribosomal RNA
Source: RNAcentral
GAUAAACGCUAGCGGCAGGCUUAACACAUGCAAGUCGAGGGGCAGCAUAGAUUGUAGCAAUACAAUUGGUGGCGACCGGCGCACGGGUGCGUAACGCGUAUGCAACCUACCCGUCACAGGGGGAUAAUCCGGAGAAAUCUGGUCUAAUACCCCAUAACAUAUGGAUCGGCAUCGGUUCAUGUUGAAAUUUUCGGAGGUGACGGAUGGGCAUGCGUAGCAUUAGCUUGUUGGUGAGGUAACGGUUCACCAAGGCGACGAUGCUUAGGGGGACUGAGAGGUUGUCCCCCCACACUGGUACAGGGACACGGACCAGACUCCUACGGGAGGCAGCAGUGAGGAAUAUUAGUCCAUGGGCGCAAGCCUGAACCAGCCAUGCCGCGUGCAGGAUGACGGCUCUAUGAGUUGUAAACUGCUUUUGUACGAGGGUAAAGUGGGUUACGUGUAACCUUUUGAAAGUAUCGUACGAAUAAGGAUCGGCUAACUCCGUGCCAGCCGCCGCGGUAA